RNAcentral lists this ribosomal RNA (253 nucleotides) under uncultured bacterium. Its description in RNAcentral is "partial 16S ribosomal RNA". It matches the Rfam family "Bacterial small subunit ribosomal RNA", at positions 524 to 776 of the family's 1533-position model. The record is from RNAcentral.
UACGUAGGGGGCUAGCGUUGUCCGGAAUCAUUGGGCGUAAAGCGCGUGUAGGCGGUCCGGUAAGUCCGCUGUGAAAGUCGAGGGCUCAACCCUCGAAUGCCGGUGGAUACUGUCGGGCUAGAGUGCGGAAGAGGCGAGUGGAAUUCCUGGUGUAGCGGUGAAAUGCGCAGAUAUCAGGAGGAACACCUAUUGCGAAGGCAGCUCGCUGGGACGUUACUGACGCUGAGACGCGAAAGCGUAGGGAGCAAACAGG